RNAcentral lists this long non-coding RNA (726 nucleotides) under Medicago truncatula (barrel medic). RNAcentral's name for it is "long non-coding RNA (MTRU_LNC005057)". The record is from RNAcentral. Lineage: Eukaryota; Viridiplantae; Streptophyta; Magnoliopsida; Fabales; Fabaceae.
GCUUUUUCCUUCAAUCAAAUAGUUUUUAGUAUUUCAGAGUUGCCAUGGAAACCCUCUAAAGAUCAAAUUUAUCAUGAAAUGUUGUCUCUUACAUAUGUCGAUGUGUUUGUCUCUUUUUUGCACCGCUUAAAGUCCAAACCUUUUCUUGGCAUCUUUUUCUUGGAAGACUUCCAACUAAAGGGAAUCAAACAAAGAGGGUAAUCUGUAGUGGUGGUAUGAAUGUGGAUUGUGUUUAGUGUCCGGGGACUCUAUACGCAUUUGUUUUAUAGGUACAACUUUAGUAGAGUUGUGUAGUACCAUACUUUCUAAUGGGUGGGAACGAGAAUGGGGUAAUACCCGGAUCUAUUAUUUGUCUUUUUGACUAAUUUUCUUCUUCUUUUCUCAAUAAAAAACAUCAGAAUGGUUUAAUGCUUAUAUGACAUACAACCGUUUGAAAUAUUUGGUAGGUUAAAUAUUUAUGGCACAUCUCUGAUUAAUUAAUGGGUGUUGUUAACGAAUGUGUUCGGGGCAUUCUUUAAGCAAUUCAAAAUAAGUUGUACCUAUAAAACCUUGUGUUAAAGUUUACUGAUUUUGAAGUUUAAUGAUGAUGUGAAAUUCAUAAUUAUAUGGUUCAAGAAUUAGAAAAGUUUGUAAUUUAUAGAGAAGUGCAUAGCAUGCAUUUGAUGGAUCUUUAAGUGCCAAAUGGGGCGAUUAUUAUUAUUUCAAUAGAUUUAUAAGUGCCAAAUG